Long non-coding RNA from Pezoporus flaviventris, 570 nucleotides. RefSeq lists it as uncharacterized. Lineage: Eukaryota; Metazoa; Chordata; Aves; Psittaciformes; Psittacidae. The record is from RefSeq and is a predicted model, not a curated record. The transcript is spliced from 4 exons.
UUCCAGUCUGAUCUCCAGAACAGACAAGGUUUGGCCAAACUCCAAAUUAAUCUCUUUUUAAAAAAUGCUUAUUGCAUAUAAUGUCAGAAAAAAAGUUUAACAAAUCUCAUUUCCCCUUUUAAGUUGUUCCAUGAUGAAUAUGGAAAGUGAAGACACAGGGGAGAAGUCCACAGCCCUUUACAGAUCUGAGUCGAUUAUACAUACAUUAUUUAUAUUGCAGACUGAGGAAUAAUGCUUCUUUCUGGACUCAGCCCAGGAGCUGACUGCUGUCAGCCCUCACAGAUCACAGUGGGAGCUGCUGCUUUGGUACUGCUGGUGGGAGACAGCACCACUUCCCAUGUACGGAUAUCAACACUGGAAAAUAAACUCUUCUUUGGAUCACUUAUAUUCCUUCUGUCACAGACUGGAUGUUCACAUACACGUCAUGGACAUUGCCAGUUGUCACAUGUGAAGGCUGACACACAACUGGGGAAAAUGAAGAUGAGAUGAGAUUUGAAGAUCCAAAUCCCUGCCAGCAAUGGGAAAAGCAGCAACAGAAGAUCCGUAAGGAAUGAUGAACACACGCCCCCC